GCAGUGGCUCAGUAGCAGAGCUUCUGUCUUGCUUGCAGAAGGUCAUAGGUUCAAUCUCUAUCAUCUCCA
Molecule: transfer RNA, 69 nt
Filed under: Sphaerodactylus townsendi
Lineage: Eukaryota; Metazoa; Chordata; Lepidosauria; Squamata; Sphaerodactylidae
Description: tRNA-Ala
Rfam family: tRNA
About the family: Transfer RNA (tRNA) molecules are approximately 80 nucleotides in length.
Source: RNAcentral